Molecule: ribosomal RNA, 466 nt
Filed under: uncultured bacterium
Lineage: Bacteria
Description: partial 16S ribosomal RNA
Rfam family: Bacterial small subunit ribosomal RNA
Source: RNAcentral
CUACGGGGCGCACCAGUGGGGAAUAUUGGACAAUGGGGGGAACCCUGAUCCAGCAAUGCCGCGUGUGUGAAGAAGGCCUGCGGGUUGUAAAGCACUUUCGGUUGGGAGGACUGCUUCUAGCACUAAUAUUGUUGGAAGUUGACGUUACCUUCAGAAGAAGCACCGGCUAACUCCGUGCCAGCAGCCGCGGUAAUACGUGAGGGUGCAAGCGUUAAUCGGAAUUACUGGGCGUAAAGCGCGCGUAGGCGGCUAGAUCAGUCGGGUGUGAAAGCCCCGGGCUUAACCUGGGAACUGCAUCCGAUACUGUCUAGCUUGAGUACAGGAGAGGAGAGUGGAAUUCCACAUGUAGCGGUGAAAUGCGUAGAUAUGUGGAGGAACACCAAUGGCGAAGGCAGCUCUCUGGCCUGAUACUGACGCUGAGGUGCGAAAGCGUGGGGAGCAAACAGGAUUAGAUACCCGUGUAGUC